This 521-nucleotide long non-coding RNA is filed under the name Pan paniscus (pygmy chimpanzee). RNAcentral's name for it is "lncRNA (ENSPPAG00000044437.1)". Lineage: Eukaryota; Metazoa; Chordata; Mammalia; Primates; Hominidae. The record is from RNAcentral.
GAAAGAGAUCUUCAUGUAAACAGAGUCCCUCUUACUGGCUGAAGUGAAGAGUCAUUCUGAGGCAUCUCAAGAUGAAGGUUUCCUAUUUGUGAUUAUGAAAAAAAUGUCAAGAACAAGUCCCUUGGUGUUCUUAGACCGAAGUCAGAACAACAGACCUAGUAUUUGUCUGGGGCUGGCUGUGCACCCAGAAGGCCAUUCGCUCCAUGAAGAACAUGACAGAGGUACCUGGUCCUACCUGGAUUCUUGGGCAUGCGGGCAGCAGCAGCAACAGCAGCCACAGUGAACUUCAUCCUAAGGAAAUUAAGUACACGUUGCUUGAGGCUGCUGUGGGGGUGCCAGGUUACAUCAUCUGGAGACUGAGAACUUGGGAUGCUCCUUGUUCAUCCAAGCAUUUGAACAAAUCCAGUGUCCUUUUUGAGCAAAAUAUGAGCCCCACCUUUAGAAUCUAUGAAUCUCCCCUUCAGAUGGGAAAGCUGUUUUUGUGGCUAAAAUUAGAAACAACCCAAAUGUCUAUGAAAUGA